RNAcentral lists this ribosomal RNA (439 nucleotides) under uncultured bacterium. Its description in RNAcentral is "bacterial SSU rRNA". It matches the Rfam family "Bacterial small subunit ribosomal RNA", at positions 1 to 450 of the family's 1533-position model. The record is from RNAcentral.
UGAGUUUGAUCAUGGCUCGGAUGAACGCGGCGGCGUGCUUAACACAUGCAAGUCGAACGAUGAAGCCCAGCUUGCUGGGUGGAUUAGUGGCGAACGGGUGAGUAACACGUGAGUAACCUGCCCUUGACUUUGGGAUAAGCCUGGGAAACUGGGUCUAAUACGGAUAUGACCUCUUGCCGCAUGGUGGGAGGUGGAAAGAUUUAUUGGUCUUGGAUGGACUCGCGGCCUAUCAGCUUGUUGGUGAGGUAAUGGCUCACCAAGGCGACGACGGGUAGCCGGCCUGAGAGGGUGACCGGCCACACUGGGACUGAGACACGGCCCAGACUCCUAUCGGGAGGCAGCAGUGGGGAAUAUUGCACAAUGGGCGCAAGCCUGAUGCAGAGACGCCGCGUGAGGGAUGACGGCCUUCGGGUUGUAAACCUCUUUCGUAGGGAAGAAG